GGCUGAUUAAUUUAACGGGCUCGCACCACCCGAGCCAUCGCCUUCUCCCUCCUCCGCUCUCGUUUCUUCUUCCCCAUCGCCGCCCGCGUUGUUCUCUCUCUCUCAUCUCCCUCUCCCUCUCCCUCCCUCUGUAGCCCAAGAAGAGCAGCAGCAGCAGCAGCAGCGGAGGGAGAGUGAAUGGAGUUCGUGCUGAUCAUAUCGCUGCCGCUCCUCAUCCUGAUCAUCAUCGUCGCGGUAGUCCUCUGCAUCAUCUGCCGUUAGCCGACCGAACGGCCACACCAGGAUAUUCAGCACCAUCUUUGCUGUGAUCUUACCGUGUGCUAACGAACUCAGUACAUCAUGACCUGACAAAACUUUACCUCUCCAUUGCUGUGUAAUUAAUUAAUUCUAGCUUUAGCUUCUUUUUUUCUUGUGCAAAAGACGUCGAUUGCUAAUACACUUGCGCUGUAAGUGUGGGAGAUUGGAUACCUGAAAGUGUGAUCUUUUCUUUUU
Long non-coding RNA from Phragmites australis (common reed), 492 nucleotides. RefSeq lists it as uncharacterized. The record is from RefSeq and is a predicted model, not a curated record. The transcript is spliced from 2 exons. NCBI's taxonomy places the organism in Eukaryota, Viridiplantae, Streptophyta, Magnoliopsida, Poales, Poaceae.